Molecule: non-coding RNA, 159 nt
Filed under: Veillonella tobetsuensis
Lineage: Bacteria; Bacillati; Bacillota; Negativicutes; Veillonellales; Veillonellaceae
Source: RNAcentral
UGUCGGUUUUACCGAGCGUAAAAGAGGAAAAUGGGUGUAAAUCCUAUACUAUGAAAGUAGCUGUAAUGAGGAGCAAUAUUUCAUUUUAGUGUCACUGGGAAACUGGGAAGGCAGAGAUGUUGUGAUGAAUCAAUAGUCAGAAAGCCUGCUCAAUCUAAU